CUCUUAUGCUGGACUCUUUGUUCAUGGUGUCUCUGGGAUUUAUCUCAAUGGGACCUCUGCAGCCGACAACCAUCACCCUUCCUGCAUGGGACAGCAGAUGCAGGUCAGCAGCCAGAUUGACAUUGGAGAGCAUUUCUAUUAUUAUAUUAACUCCUUGCAUCUUGGUAUAUUCCAUAAUUUUGUCAAGAUAGUUAGCUUCUCUGUGAUUAAAUGCUUGGUGAGCACCAUUUCUCAGAACAACGUUCAUACCCUGCUCGGUUCCCG
RNAcentral lists this long non-coding RNA (264 nucleotides) under Gallus gallus (chicken). Lineage: Eukaryota; Metazoa; Chordata; Aves; Galliformes; Phasianidae. The record is from RNAcentral.